UAACUUAGUGGCGAACGGGUGAGUAACGCGUGAGUAACCUGCCCUGGAGUGGGGGACAACAGUUGGAAACGACUGCUAAUACCGCAUAAGCCCACGGCCCGGCAUCGGGCUGAGGGAAAAGGAUUUAUUCGCUUCAGGAUGGACUCGCGUCCAAUUAGCUAGUUGGUGAGGUAACGGCCCACCAAGGCGACGAUUGGUAGCCGGACUGAGAGGUUGAACGGCCACAUUGGGACUGAGACACGGUCCAGACUCCUACGGGAGGCAGCAGUGGGGGAUAUUGCACAAUGGGGGAAACCCUGAUGCAGCGACGCCGCGUGGAGGAAGAAGGUUUUCGGAUUGUAAACUCCUGUCGUUAGGGACGAUAAUGACGGUACCUAACAAGAAAGCACCGGCUAACUACGUGCCAGCAGCCGCGGUAAAACGUAGGGUGCAAGCGUUGUCCGGAAUUACUGGGUGUAAAGGGAGCGCAGGCGGACCGGCAAGUUGGAAGUGAGAACUAUGGGCUCAACCCAUAAAUUGCUUUCAAAACUGCUGGCCUUGAGUAGUGCAGAGGUAGGUGGAAUUCCCGGUGUAGCGGUGGAAUGCGUAGAUAUCGGGAGGAACACCAGUGGCGAA
This 615-nucleotide ribosomal RNA is filed under the name uncultured bacterium. RNAcentral's name for it is "bacterial SSU rRNA". It matches the Rfam family "Bacterial small subunit ribosomal RNA", at positions 88 to 719 of the family's 1533-position model. The record is from RNAcentral.